RNAcentral lists this ribosomal RNA (425 nucleotides) under uncultured bacterium. Its description in RNAcentral is "partial 16S ribosomal RNA". It matches the Rfam family "Bacterial small subunit ribosomal RNA", at positions 354 to 796 of the family's 1533-position model. The record is from RNAcentral.
GUGGGGAAUCUUCCGCAAUGGACGAAAGUCUGACGGAGCAACGCAGCGUGAAGGAAGAAGGUCUUCGGAUCGUAAACUUCUAUCCUUGGUGAAGAUAAUGACGGUAGCCGAGAAGGAAGCCCCGGCUAACUACGUGCCAGCAGCCGCGGCAAUACGUAGGGGGCAAGCGUUGUCCGGAAUGAUUGGGCGUAAAGGGCGCGUAGGCGGCCUGGUAAGUCUGGAGUGAAAGUCCUGCUUUUAAGGUGGGAAUUGCUUUGGAUACUGUCGGGCUUGAGUGCAGGAGAGGUAAGUGGAAUUCCCGUUGUAGCGGUGAAAUGCGUAGAGAUCGGGAGGAACACCAGUGGCGAAGGCGGCUUACUGGACUGUAACUGACGCUGAGGCGCGAAAGUGUGGGGAGCAAACAGGAUUAGAAACCCCAGUAGUCC